AUGACUACCGUUCCAGGGUCUCCGGUCUGGGAGCUUGUGAAGAAGAACAACUGCUUCUUGAUAAAACAGUUCGGCAACAGCAACGCCAAGGUGCGGUUCAGCAAGGAGCCCAACAACCUCUACAAUGUCCACUCCUACAAGUUCUCGAGUUUGGCGAAUAGCAAGACCGUGGUGGUCCAGCCAUCAGCGGGAGAGGACAAGGCAGUUGUCCUGUCCACGACCAAGACCAAGAAGCAGAACACCCCUACCAAGCUCCAGCACAAGACUCUGAUGCGCAAGGAGUUCCACAAGAUGGCCAAGUCUGUCAAGAAUCAGGUAUUACAACUUGUUGUUUUGAGAAGUCACUUUGUUCUGCAAGUCGGACAUAACUUCAGAAAAGUCUGA
This 384-nucleotide ribosomal RNA is filed under the name Triticum aestivum (bread wheat). Its description in RNAcentral is "partial small subunit ribosomal RNA". The record is from RNAcentral. Lineage: Eukaryota; Viridiplantae; Streptophyta; Magnoliopsida; Poales; Poaceae.